Molecule: ribosomal RNA, 790 nt
Filed under: uncultured bacterium
Lineage: Bacteria
Description: bacterial SSU rRNA
Rfam family: Bacterial small subunit ribosomal RNA
Source: RNAcentral
AGAGUUUGAUCCUGGCUCAGAACGAACGUUGGCGGCGUGGAUUAGGCAUGCAAGUCGAACGAAUCCCAAGGGUGUAGCAAUACACCUGAGGGGGAAGUGGCGAAAGGGGCAGUAAGGCGUGGGUAACCUACCCCGGGGACCGGGAUAGCCUUUCUAACGAGAGGGUAAUACCGGGCGAUCUGGUUCAGGGGCAUCUCUGGACCAGGAGAUGAAUUUCGCCUCGGGAGGGGCUCACGUGGUAUUAGCUAGACGGCGAGGUAACGGCUCACCGUGGCAAAGAUGCCUAGCGGGUGUGAGAGCACGACCCGCGCCACUGGCACUGAGACACUGGCCAGACUCCUACGGGAGGCUGCAGUCGAGGAUCUUCGGCAAUGGGCGCAAGCCUGACCGAGCGACGCCGCGUGCGCGAUGAAGGCCUUCGGGUUGUAAAGCGCUGUCGAGGGGGAGGAAGACCCGAAAGGGUUUGACCUAUCCCUGGAGGAAGCACGGGCUAAGUUCGUGCCAGCAGCCGCGGUAAGACGAACCGUGCGAACGUUGUUCGGAAUCACUGGGCUUAAAGGGCGCGUAGGCGGGCCUCCCAGUCCGGGGUGAAAGCUUUCGGCUUAACCGGAAAAGUGCCUUGGAUACUGGAGGUCUUGAGGGAGGUAGGGGCAGCCGGAACUUCCGGUGGAGCGGUGAAAUGCGUUGAUAUCGGAAGGAACGCCGGUGGCGAAAGCGGGCUGCUGGAUCUCUACUGACGCUGAGGCGCGAAAGCCAGGGGAGCGAACGGGAUUAGAUACCCCAGUAGUCC